RNAcentral lists this ribosomal RNA (465 nucleotides) under uncultured bacterium. Its description in RNAcentral is "bacterial SSU rRNA". It matches the Rfam family "Bacterial small subunit ribosomal RNA", at positions 338 to 795 of the family's 1533-position model. The record is from RNAcentral.
CCUACGGGGGGCAGCAGUGGGGAAUAUUGGACAAUGGGCGAAAGCCUGAUCCAGCCAUGCCGCGUGUGUGAAGAAGGUCUUCGGAUUGUAAAGCACUUUAAGUUGGGAGGAAGGGCAGUAAAUUAAUACUUUGCUGUUUUGACGUUACCGACAGAAUAAGCACCGGCUAACUCUGUGCCAGCAGCCGCGGUAAUACAGAGGGUGCAAGCGUUAAUCGGAAUUACUGGGCGUAAAGCGCGCGUAGGUGGUUCGUUAAGUUGGAUGUGAAAUCCCCGGGCUCAACCUGGGAACUGCAUUCAAAACUGACGAGCUAGAGUAUGGUAGAGGGUGGUGGAAUUUCCUGUGUAGCGGUGAAAUGCGUAGAUAUAGGAAGGAACACCAGUGGCGAAGGCGACCACCUGGACUGAUACUGACACUGAGGUGCGAAAGCGUGGGGAGCAAACAGGAUUAGAUACCCCCGUAGUC